Molecule: ribosomal RNA, 434 nt
Filed under: uncultured Lachnospiraceae bacterium
Lineage: Bacteria; Bacillati; Bacillota; Clostridia; Lachnospirales; Lachnospiraceae
Description: partial 16S ribosomal RNA
Rfam family: Bacterial small subunit ribosomal RNA
Source: RNAcentral
ACGGAAGGCAGCAGUGGGGAAUAUUGCACAAUGGGGGAAACCCUGAUGCAGCGACGCCGCGUGAGUGAAGAAGUAUUUCGGUAUGUAAAGCUCUAUCAGCAGGAAAGAAAAUGACGGUACCUGACUAAGAAGCCCCGGCUAACUACGUGCCAGCAGCCGCGGUAAUACGUAGGGGGCAAGCGUUAUCCGGAUUUACUGGGUGUAAAGGGAGCGUAGACGGCUUUGCAAGUCUGAAGUGAAAGCCCGGGGCUCAACCCCGGAACUGCUUUGGAAACUGUAGAGCUAGAGUGCAGGAGAGGUAAGUGGAAUUCCUGGUGUAGCGGUGAAAUGCGUAGAUAUUAGGAGGAACACCAGUGGCGAAGGCGGCUUACUGGACUGUAACUGACGUUGAGGCUCGAAGGCGUGGGGAGCAAACAGGAUUAGAUACCCUGGUA